GUGGAUUAGAUACCCUGGUAGUCCACGCCCUAAACGAUGCUCACUAGGUGUUGGGGAAGCGAUUCCUUGGUACCGAAGCUAACGCGUGAAGUGAGCCGCCUGGGGAGUACGGCCGCAAGGUUAAAACUCAAAGGAAUUGACGGGGACCCGCACAAGCGGUGGAUGAUGUGGAUUAAUUCGAUGCAACGCGAACAACCUUACCUACCCUUGACAUGUCUGGAAGGCUUCCGAGAGGAGGCUGUGCCUGAAAGGGAACCGGAACACAGGUGCUGCAUGGUUGUCGACAACU
This 289-nucleotide ribosomal RNA is filed under the name uncultured bacterium. Its description in RNAcentral is "partial 16S ribosomal RNA". It matches the Rfam family "Bacterial small subunit ribosomal RNA", at positions 773 to 1060 of the family's 1533-position model. The record is from RNAcentral.